This 95-nucleotide transfer RNA is filed under the name Deltaproteobacteria bacterium. Its description in RNAcentral is "tRNA-Ser". It matches the Rfam family "tRNA". From Rfam's summary of the family: Transfer RNA (tRNA) molecules are approximately 80 nucleotides in length. Their secondary structure includes four short double-helical elements and three loops (D, anti-codon, and T loops). Further hydrogen bonds mediate the characteristic L-shaped molecular structure. tRNAs have two regions of fundamental functional importance: the anti-codon, which is responsible for specific mRNA codon recognition, and the 3' end, to which the tRNAs corresponding amino acid is attached (by aminoacyl-tRNA synthetases). tRNAs cope with the degeneracy of the genetic code in two manners: having more than one tRNA (with a specific anti-codon) for a particular amino acid; and 'wobble' base-pairing, i.e. permitting non-standard base-pairing at the 3rd anti-codon position. Lineage: Bacteria; Pseudomonadati; Myxococcota; Myxococcia. The record is from RNAcentral.
GGAGAGAUGCCCGAGCUGGCCGAAGGGGCACGACUGGAAAUCGUGCGUGCCGCCAAGAAGCGGCACCGAGGGUUCGAAUCCCUCUCUCUCCGCCA